AUAAAUUAGGGGUCAUGAGAAGCUGAGAGAAUUGGAUCUGUUCACCUUAGUGAUGUCUCAGGGGCGAAUUUCCUGCUUUCCACAAUGACUUGUUCAGAGGAAAACAAGAAGAUGAACCUAGUCCAUGGAACUGUCCAGGAAGCAGGGGAAAUAUCCAGUAACGGGAUGUGUUGUAGAUGACCUCUGCAGGUCACUUCUCACAUACAUUCUGAAUCUGGGUCCCCCCGUCCUGCCCUCCCUGACGUCUGCACAACCAUGGGCAUACAGGACCUCACAUCCCCUCUGCCACAAACCAACUUUCACUUAUAGUGUUGGAAGUACACAGAGGCAGCUGAAGGGAGGCUCUCAGCCUCCUCACUGCCAACCGCAGGAAAUCAGUGGCUGCUGUUUGCACCCCUGAGCUAGGGGAAAGCUCUGGGAAGCUGGUCCGUCACCUGGGUCAGGGCUCUGCAGUGCCGUGCGGGUUUCUUCUUGCUGGAGGACAGGCAAAGUCCUUUUCCCAGGAGCCGCAGUUGUGGCUGUGCAGAGCCUGGGAGACCUGCGAGCCCGGGCGACACACCGAGCGGCUCUGGGGCAGGACUCAGGUCCGGGGCGGAGCUGUCGGAGGUAGAGGGGAGGGGAGAGAAGAGAGAGGAGAGGGAGAGGAAGGAGAAGGAGAAGGAGAAGGAGAAGGAGAAGGAGAAGGAGAAGGAGAAGGAGAAGGAGAAGGAGAAGGAGAAGGAGAAGGAGAAGGAGAAAGAAGGAGAAGGAGAAGGAGAAGGAGAAGGAGAAGGAGAAGGAGAAGGAGAAGGAGAAGGAGAAGGAGAAGGAGAAGGAGAAGGAGAAGGAGAAGGAGAAGGAGAAGGAGAAGGAGAAGGAGAAGGAGAAGGAGAAGGAGAAGGAGAAGGAGAAGGAGAAGGAGAGGAGGAGGCGGUGCCGUAGCAGAGAGCCAGUGCUGGCUAGGCGCGGGCUGCAGAGUGACGGGAUGUGUCGGUGUCGGGGCGCAAGGCUGGCGGGACUGGCCACGGUGCUCCUGGCAGUGGCUGUGGGCAGAGCGCAGGUGCAGCAGGACCCUUCGGCAGAGACCAUCGAGGGCAUCGCCAUCAGCAUCAACUGCUCACAUCCCAACAUAAAGACAAGCGACUACAUCUACUGGUAUCGUCAGCUCCUGGACCGAGGUCCCGAACUCCUCUUGUGGGGUACUAAAGGCUCCAGACCUCUGUCGGACCCGCCAGGACGGUUGUCGGUGGCGGCAGACCGCCGGUCCAGCGCCCUGCGGCUCGAAAGGCCCCGGCGCGGGGACGCGGCGGUGUAUUACUGCGCCGUGGGAGACACGGGGAGAGGAGCCGGGGCUGCGGCCGGACACGAACCGCCGCGGGCGGGGUCGGGUGUGUUUGGGGGGGAGCGGGUGAACAACACCGGUCGGAUCCGCCAGGGGGCGCUGCCGCUCCACCCGCCGCUGCCGCCUUGUCCCGCGGGCUCCGGGGCGGUUCCGUUGCCCGAGCGGCACCGGCACCAGCUUCAGCAUCAACAUCGGCAUCGCCAUUGACAUUUCCGUUGUCACCCCCAGCGGGACGGAGACAGACAUACCCCGUCACAUCACGGUGGAAUCGUGACCGGAGCAGUGUCGGUGUCCGGUGGUGGCCGGGAAAGAGCGACUGCAGUCGCCGGCCCCGCCGGCUCCCGGCGAGGAGCAGCGACAUUCUGCUCUGCAGAGUGGGGCGGGCAGAGAGAUCCUCCUGCCCACGGGCAGCUGCACAGCCCUUGCUCCUGCUGCAAUGACCCUCCCAUGGAACACACGGGAGCUCUUCUUGGGCUUUUGGUUUUCCCCAGCAGCACAGCCAAGGGACCCCUGAGCAGGUGCUUUCCUCUGCUUUGUAAACACAGGGACUCCUGUGCUAAAGUGCUAAUGCAAAACUUGACUUAGAAAACAAGAACCAGAAGGGGUUUCAUGUGUUGCUACUUUGUUAAAUCUCAGAUAUGCAAUUUAAAACUG
Molecule: non-coding RNA, 1975 nt
Organism: Columba livia (rock pigeon)
Lineage: Eukaryota; Metazoa; Chordata; Aves; Columbiformes; Columbidae
Source: the annotation of a RefSeq genome assembly